GAUGAACGCUGGCGGCGUGCCUAAUACAUGCAAGUCGAGCGAACAGACGAGGAGCUUGCUCCUCUGACGUUAGCGGCGGACGGGUGAGUAACACGUGGAUAACCCACCUAUAAGACUGGGAUAACUUCGGGAAACCGGAGCUAAUACCGGAUAAUAUAUUGAACCGCAUGGUUCAAUAGUGAAAGACGGUUUUGCUGUCACUUAUAGAUGGAUCCGCGCUGCAUUAGCUAGUUGGUAAGGUAACGGCUUACCAAGGCAACGAUGCGUAGCCGACCUGAGAGGGUGAUCGGCCACACUGGAACUGAGACACGGUCCAGACUCCUACGGGAGGCAGCAGUAGGGAAUCUUCCGCAAUGGGCGAAAGCCUGACGGAGCAACGCCGCGUGAGUGAUGAAGGUCUUCGGAUCGUAAAACUCUGUUAUUAGGGAAGAACAAAUGUGUAAGUAACUAUGCACGUCUUGACGGUACCUAAUCAGAAAGCCACGGCUAACUACGUG
This 497-nucleotide ribosomal RNA is filed under the name uncultured bacterium. Its description in RNAcentral is "partial 16S ribosomal RNA". It matches the Rfam family "Bacterial small subunit ribosomal RNA", at positions 28 to 507 of the family's 1533-position model. The record is from RNAcentral.